GACGAACGCUGGCGGCGUGCUUAACACAUGCAAGUCGAACGGAAAGGCCCUGCUUUUGUGGGGUGCUCGAGUGGCGAACGGGUGAGUAACACGUGAGUAACCUGCCCUUGACUUCGGGAUAACUUCAGGAAACUGGGGCUAAUACCGGAUAGGAGCUCCUGCUGCAUGGUGGGGGUUGGAAAGUUUCGGCGGUUGGGGAUGGACUCGCGGCUUAUCAGCUUGUUGGUGGGGUAGUGGCUUACCAAGGCUUUGACGGGUAGCCGGCCUGAGAGGGUGGCCGGCCACAUUGGGACUGAGAUACGGCCCAGACUCCUACGGGAGGCAGCAGUGGGGAAUAUUGCACAAUGGGCGGAAGCCUGAUGCAGCAACGCCGCGUGCGGGAUGACGGCCUUCGGGUUGUAAACCGCUUUCGCCUGUGACGAAGCGUGAGUGACGGUAAUGGGUAAAGAAGCACCGGCUAACUACGUG
This 468-nucleotide ribosomal RNA is filed under the name uncultured bacterium. Its description in RNAcentral is "partial 16S ribosomal RNA". It matches the Rfam family "Bacterial small subunit ribosomal RNA", at positions 28 to 507 of the family's 1533-position model. The record is from RNAcentral.